This 439-nucleotide ribosomal RNA is filed under the name uncultured bacterium. Its description in RNAcentral is "bacterial SSU rRNA". It matches the Rfam family "Bacterial small subunit ribosomal RNA", at positions 337 to 772 of the family's 1533-position model. The record is from RNAcentral.
UCCUACGGGAGGCAGCAGUGAGGAAUAUUGGUCAAUGGACGCAAGUCUGAACCAGCCAUGUCGCGUGCAGGAUGACGGCCCUAUGGGUUGUAAACUGCUUUUUUACGGGAAUAAACGCAUCUACGUGUAGGUGUCUGAAGGUACCGUAUGAAUAAGGAUCGGCUAACUCCGUGCCAGCAGCCGCGGUAAUACGGAGGAUUCGAGCGUUAUCCGGAUUUAUUGGGUUUAAAGGGUCCGUAGGCGGGCUUGUAAGUCAGUGGUGAAAUCCCGGAGCUCAACUCCGGAACUGCCAUUGAUACUGCAGGUCUUGAAUUUAGUUGAGGUGGGCGGAAUACGUUAUGUAGCGGUGAAAUGCAUAGAUAUAACGUAGAACACCGAUUGCGAACGCAGCUCACUAAGCUAAUAUUGACGCUGAUGGACGAAAGCGGUGGGGAACGAA